AAUAUUGCACAAUGGGCGAAAGCCUGAUGCAGCAACGCCGCGUGAAUGAUGAAGGCCUUCGGGUCGUAAACUUCUUUGAUUGGGGACGAAGGAAGUGACGGUACCCAAAAAACAAGCCACGGCUAACUACGUGCCAGCAGCCGCGGUAAUACGUAGGUGGCGAGCGUUGUCCGGAAUUACUGGGUGUAAAGGGCGUGUAGGCGGGGAAGCAAGUCAGAUGUGAAAUUCCGGGGCUCAACCUCGGCGUUGCAUCUGAAACUGUUUUUCUUGAGUGCUGGAGAGGAAAGCGGAAUUCCUAGUGUAGCGGUGAAAUGCGUAGAUAUUAGGAGGAACACCAGUGGCGAAGGCGGCUUUCUGGACAGUAACUGACGCUGAGGCGCGAAAGCGUGGGGAGCAAACAGG
RNAcentral lists this ribosomal RNA (402 nucleotides) under uncultured bacterium. Its description in RNAcentral is "partial 16S ribosomal RNA". It matches the Rfam family "Bacterial small subunit ribosomal RNA", at positions 360 to 776 of the family's 1533-position model. The record is from RNAcentral.